RNAcentral lists this ribosomal RNA (497 nucleotides) under uncultured bacterium. RNAcentral's name for it is "partial 16S ribosomal RNA". It matches the Rfam family "Bacterial small subunit ribosomal RNA", at positions 28 to 507 of the family's 1533-position model. The record is from RNAcentral.
GAUGAACGCUGGCGGCGUGCCUAAUACAUGCAAGUCGAGCGAACGGACGAGAAGCUUGCUUCUCUGAUGUUAGCGGCGGACGGGUGAGUAACACGUGGAUAACCUACCUAUAAGACUGGGGUAACUUCGGGAAACCGGAGCUAAUACCGGAUGAUAUUUUGAACCGCAUGGUUCAAAAGUGAAAGACGGUCUUGCUGUCACUUAUAGAUGGAUCCGCGCUGCAUUAGCUAGUUGGUAAGGUAACGGCUUACCAAGGCAACGAUGCAUAGCCGACCUGAGAGGGUGAUCGGCCACACUGGAACUGAGACACGGUCCAGACUCCUACGGGAGGCAGCAGUAGGGAAUCUUCCGCAAUGGGCGAAAGCCUGACGGAGCAACGCCGCGUGAGUGAUAAAGGUCUUCGGAUCGUAAAACUCUGUUAUUAGGGAAGAACAUAUGUGUAAGUAACUGUGCACAUCUUGACGGUACCUAAUCAGAAAGCCACGGCUAACUACGUG